This is a non-coding RNA of Dipodomys ordii (Ord's kangaroo rat), 65 nucleotides long. The record is from Rfam. NCBI's taxonomy places the organism in Eukaryota, Metazoa, Chordata, Mammalia, Rodentia, Heteromyidae.
GGUGGCUCAGUGGUAGAGUGCUUGCCUUGUAUGCAUGAAGCCCUAGGUUCAAUUCCUCAGCACCA